This 515-nucleotide long non-coding RNA is filed under the name Brassica napus (rape). RNAcentral's name for it is "long non-coding RNA (BNAP_LNC007612)". Lineage: Eukaryota; Viridiplantae; Streptophyta; Magnoliopsida; Brassicales; Brassicaceae. The record is from RNAcentral.
ACCACUUUUUUGGUUAAGGGGCACCGGAAGUCAUUUGACGUCAACGGAAUGAGACCCGACUGCAAGGCAUCCAAGGAUACCACUGAUUCAAGCACAAAGACGAACUUAACCGCCAUCAGCUCUGCCUCACCGCCAUAGAAACACCCGGACAUCUCAGACCGUUCCCACACAUCAGACUCUACACGAGAGAUCCAGAAGCUUGAAAAUCGGAUGCUCUCUAGACCUAUCAACUCCGACUCCCCUUAACAGAGCCUGCUACAAUCCACCGCGACGCACCUCCAGCCAUGGCUGACGCAUCUCCGGUCCGAAACCCUUGAGAACGGCUUCAAACAGAAACGAGACUCCACACCAGAGAAACAGACAAGACGGCGAAGGAACAGAUCUGCCAGAGAAGCAAACAAAGAAAACAAAACGGACGGUGGAGGGUGCCUCCGGCGUCGGCACGCGCCGCACGCGCCUCCGGGCGCCGGGGGUGAAUCAAAUCGCGUUUUUAAGCUCUCUCUCUCUCAGUGAAA